This is a non-coding RNA of Gossypium raimondii (Peruvian cotton), 145 nucleotides long. NCBI's taxonomy places the organism in Eukaryota, Viridiplantae, Streptophyta, Magnoliopsida, Malvales, Malvaceae. The record is from Rfam.
UGGAAAAAAAUUCAUCCAAUUCUAUUGUUAAAAAUUAGGGUCACUAACGGCAUAACCAAAUAGUUACACGUGAUGUGUCACGUGUACCUUAUGCCGAUAUACAUUGACCAAUUUUUAACUGUAGAAAUGGAUGAAAUUUUUAAUA